RNAcentral lists this ribosomal RNA (162 nucleotides) under uncultured bacterium. RNAcentral describes it as "partial 16S ribosomal RNA". It matches the Rfam family "Bacterial small subunit ribosomal RNA", at positions 1339 to 1500 of the family's 1533-position model. The record is from RNAcentral.
UAAUCGCAGAUCAGCAUGCUGCGGUGAAUACGUUCCCGGGCCUUGUACACACCGCCCGUCACACCAUGGGAGUCGGUAACACCCGAAGCCAGUAGCCCAACCGCAAGGAGGACGCUGUCGAAGGUGGGAUUGAUAACUGGGGUGAAGUCGUAACAAGGUAUC